Anaerosporobacter mobilis DSM 15930 is the source of this 349-nucleotide non-coding RNA. It matches the Rfam family "Bacterial RNase P class A". Rfam says of the family: Ribonuclease P (RNase P) is a ubiquitous endoribonuclease, found in archaea, bacteria and eukarya as well as chloroplasts and mitochondria. NCBI's taxonomy places the organism in Bacteria, Bacillati, Bacillota, Clostridia, Lachnospirales, Lachnospiraceae. The record is from Rfam.
UGAGUAGCACAGAUGAUUGCGCCUAUUAGCACCGAAAGGUCUUAGGUGAGGAAAGUCCGGGCUUCACAGGGCAGGGUGCCGGAUAACGUCCGGUGGAGGUGACUCCAAGGCUAGUGCAACAGAGAUAUACCGCCAAAUUCGUUUGGUAAGGAUGGAAAGGUAGCGUAAGAGACUACCGCAUUCUUGGUAACAAGAAUGGCUAUGUAAACCCCACUCGAAGCAAGACCGAAUGGAGAGCGAUACGGUUGCCCGCCGUGCUUUCGGGUUGGUCGCUUGAUCUUACUGGUAACAGUAAGACUAGAUAGAUAAUCAUCUAAUACAGAACUCGGCUUAUAGUGCUGCUCACAUG